RNAcentral lists this ribosomal RNA (110 nucleotides) under Salvator merianae (Argentine black and white tegu). Lineage: Eukaryota; Metazoa; Chordata; Lepidosauria; Squamata; Teiidae. The record is from RNAcentral.
CACAGCGUUUAAUCUGUGCUUCACCCAUCAUCUCUGAGCUUGAAGCCAAACAGAGCUGGGCUCAGUUCGUACUUGGAUGGGAGACCACUUGAAAAUAUCAAAUGCUAUUC